Molecule: transfer RNA, 79 nt
Filed under: Portunus trituberculatus (swimming crab)
Lineage: Eukaryota; Metazoa; Arthropoda; Malacostraca; Decapoda; Portunidae
Description: tRNA-Leu
Rfam family: tRNA (bases 3-72)
About the family: Transfer RNA (tRNA) molecules are approximately 80 nucleotides in length. Their secondary structure includes four short double-helical elements and three loops (D, anti-codon, and T loops). Further hydrogen bonds mediate the characteristic L-shaped molecular structure. tRNAs have two regions of fundamental functional importance: the anti-codon, which is responsible for specific mRNA codon recognition, and the 3' end, to which the tRNAs corresponding amino acid is attached (by aminoacyl-tRNA synthetases). tRNAs cope with the degeneracy of the genetic code in two manners: having more than one tRNA (with a specific anti-codon) for a particular amino acid; and 'wobble' base-pairing, i.e. permitting non-standard base-pairing at the 3rd anti-codon position.
Source: RNAcentral
UACCGCGUAGUGUAGUGGUUAGCACGCUCGACUCAGAAUCGAGAGGGCCGGGUUCGAGUCCCGGUAAGCGGCGAGGAAA